AUUGAACGCUGGCGGCAGGCCUAACACAUGCAAGUCGAGCGAGCGGCGGACGGGUGAGUAAUGUCUGGGAACCUGCCUGAUGGAGGGGGAUAACUACUGGAAACGGUAGCUAAUACCGCAUACCAUCAGAUGUGCCCAUAUGGGAUUCGCUAGUAGGUGGGGUAAUGGCUCACCUAGGCGACGAUCCCUAGCUGGUCUGAGAGGAUGACCAGCCACACUGGAACUGAGACACGGCCCAGACGCCUACGGGAGGCAGCAGUGGGGAAUAUUGCACAAGGGGCGAAAGCCUGACGCAGCAAUGCCGCGUGGUGGAAGAAGGUCUUCGGGUUGUAAAGUACUUUCAGUGAGGAGGCGUUACCUACAGAAGAAGCAACGGCUAACUCCGUGCCAGCAGCCGCGGUAAUAC
RNAcentral lists this ribosomal RNA (406 nucleotides) under uncultured bacterium. RNAcentral's name for it is "partial 16S ribosomal RNA". It matches the Rfam family "Bacterial small subunit ribosomal RNA", at positions 30 to 526 of the family's 1533-position model. The record is from RNAcentral.